This 1515-nucleotide ribosomal RNA is filed under the name Triticum aestivum (bread wheat). RNAcentral describes it as "partial small subunit ribosomal RNA". The record is from RNAcentral. Lineage: Eukaryota; Viridiplantae; Streptophyta; Magnoliopsida; Poales; Poaceae.
AUGCGUCUCAGUUUUCCUGCUGAUAUGCACAUCAACCCGGAAGCAGAAGCCCUUCUCCGAUGGAAAUCCACUUUGAUUGGCAGCACCAAGUCACUAUCCUCAUGGUCGAUUGCAACCUCUACCUGCUCUUGGUUCGGCGUCACCUGUGAUGCUGCCGGACAUGUUACCGAGCUCCACCUUCCCGACGCGGGGCUCCAUGGUACGCUUCAUGCCUUCUACUCUGCAGCGUUCCAAACCCUCACUGUGCUCGACCUUUACAACAACAACCUUGUUGGCGCUGUCCCAGCAAACAUCUCCCUAUUUCUCACACUUACCGUUCUUGACUUGAGCCGUAACAAUCUUGUUGGUGCCAUCCCCUACCAACUCAGUCACCUCCCAAAGAUUGUUAAGUUAGAUUUGGGAAAUAACCACUUGAGCAACCCAGAAUAUGCCAACUUCUUACCUAUGUCCAGUUUGAAGUUGUUAUCUCUAGCUAAUAAUAAUCUCAGUGGUGCCUUCCCACAAUUCAUUAUCAACUCCACGAAUGUGGGGAUGAGAUCCCUCGAUUUAUCUGGUAACACCUUCUCAGGGCCGUUACCAAAUUCACUGCCAGAGAUGGUCCCAAGGUUGAGGUGCCUGAAUCUAUCCGCUAAUGGAUUCUUUGGCUCGAUAUCUCACUCGUUCUCAAGGCUCCAAAAGCUCGAGACACUACGUCUCGAGAAUAAUAAUCUCACAGGAGGAAUUCCAGAGGAGCUUGGUAUGAUGUCUGCACUACGAUGGCUGAUCCUUGGCAACAACCCACUUGGCGGGUCAAUCCCUGCCUCACUCGGGCAGCUCCAUUCCCUCCAGUAUCUCUACAUAAAUGAUGCUGAUUUGGUUUCUACUCUUCCACCUGAGCUGGGGAACCUUACUAGUCUCGAGUACAUGUUCCUGAAAGGGAAUCAUUUAUUUGGAAGCUUGCCACCAUCAUUUGCCAGGGUGCAAACAAUGGUGUAUUUCAGUGUAGGGGGCAACAAUAUCAAUGGUACCAUCCCCUCAGAGAUGUUUACGAACUGGACAAACCUUAAGUACUUCAAUGUUGCAAACAACUUGUUGGUUGGAAGCAUCCCAUCGCAGCUCAGGGUGCAAAGAAUGGUCUAUUUCAGUGUAGGGGACAACAAUAUCAACGGUACCAUCCCCUCAGAGAUGUUUACGAACUUGACAAACCUUAUGUACUUCAAUGUUACAAACAACUUGUUAGCUGGAAGCAUCCCAUCGCAGGUCAGCAACUCCGAGGCGUUAUUUCUUCUCAGCCUCUCUGGAAACAACUUUACUGGCUCGAUCCCGGUGGAGAUGGGAAACAUGGUAAACUUGGAAUCGCUGGAUUUGGCCAAGAAUCACCUUACUGGAACAAUACCACCUACCAUCGGCAAUUUAACAAAGUUGCGCUUACUUGACAUCAGUGACAACCGUCUCGAGGGCAGUCGACGAUUAUUAAUGUGUCCGACAACAACAACAGCGUCUUUGGAGAAUCAUUGUCUGCCUAUUGUAACCUAA